CAUGCGCGUCCUCGAUACCAUCAAGGAGUUGGGCCGGGUCACUUAUGGCGUCAUGGUCUAAUUACCGGGAUAGUUUCACAAAGUAGACGAUCUCAGAUAGGCAUUGUUGGAGCGCCGUUGUUCCGUGCUCGCCUACAAGCGCGCUCUCGUCUUACGGAACAUACGGCCAUUCCUGCUUGAUCGCCGUGUUCAAGUGUCCGAGUCGGCUUGUAAAGGUGGCUUGAGAAUAAUAGUCUGAGUGGUUCUGUUCCAUACAUCAUUUGGCAAAUCAUGAAUUUUAUGGCAAUAAAAGUCUGAUCUUGUUAGACCUUAUUGAAGGUUUAUUUGAAGCUUUUACCUUGACUCAAAAAGUUUUGGAAUCAAUUCUAUGUGAACCACUUUGACAAGAUGUUAUGUAUGCAUUCAUAUUUGAAGCUUAGAGACAAUAAGACAAUUAUAGGUUAGAAGAUCCUGUGUGUUAGUUUCAUUCAUUUUGCUAGGAGUCACUGCUCAUAUCUUAUACUUUUUUUCUCCAAUGAUCGAGUGGUCUUCUUCAUGGAUUUAGAUGCUGUUCUCAUACCAAUUUUGAUAAUCUAUCAGAUUGUUAUCAGCCAAUACCACCCGAUGUUAUUGAAAAAAAUGAUUUAUCCACGGCAGUAAAAACUAUAUGCUUCAUCAUUGUUACUUAGAUGGAGAGGAAUCACCUGAUGUAAUAGUCAAGCCUUUUGGAGGUCACAAGGUAAUUUUCUUUAUAGUAUGUAUACCCAUGAAGUGCAACUAGCACUGAACCAAAAUCUAUUGACAUCGUCCAAUAAACAUACGAUGUAAUAUAAAUGUUUAGAACAUGAAUUUUAACACUAGCUUUUGUUACUGUGGGUGUUCAAUGCUGAAAUAUCAAAGAAAAUGACAAUAUAUUUACA
Molecule: long non-coding RNA, 899 nt
Organism: Musa acuminata AAA Group (dessert banana)
Lineage: Eukaryota; Viridiplantae; Streptophyta; Magnoliopsida; Zingiberales; Musaceae
Exons: 4
Source: RefSeq, a predicted model, not a curated record